Molecule: ribosomal RNA, 253 nt
Filed under: uncultured bacterium
Lineage: Bacteria
Description: partial 16S ribosomal RNA
Rfam family: Bacterial small subunit ribosomal RNA
Source: RNAcentral
UACGGGGGGGGCAAGCGUUGUUCGGAAUUACUGGGCGUAAAGGGUUCGUAGGUGGCUUGCUAAGUCAGACGUGAAAUCCCUCAGCUUAACUGGGGAACUGCGUCUGAUACUGGAUGGCUUGAGUUUGGGAGAGGGAUGCGGAAUUCCAGGUGUAGCGGUGAAAUGCGUAGAUAUCUGGAGGAACACCGGUGGCGAAGGCGGCAUCCUGGACCAACACUGACGCUGAACAGCGAAAGCCAGGGGAGCAAACGGG